CAUCCAAUGCAAACUGCUCUCAAACCGAGACCUAUAGGCAGUAUAAUACUUCGUCUCUAAUAUCCACUAGUGAAGGGAUUGGUGGAAAUAAAGUAUCGC
This 99-nucleotide non-coding RNA is filed under the name unclassified sequences. The record is from Rfam.